CACGCUGAUGAUCUGUCUAUUCGCAUCGCGACACGCUGACACACACAACCCGAGUGACAGGCGAACGGAACCAACAAUCGAGAAAGAACAGCUGAGUG
Molecule: small RNA, 98 nt
Filed under: Leishmania major strain Friedlin
Lineage: Eukaryota; Euglenozoa; Kinetoplastea; Trypanosomatida; Trypanosomatidae
Description: Leishmania major c/D snoRNA
Source: RNAcentral